Molecule: ribosomal RNA, 450 nt
Filed under: uncultured bacterium
Lineage: Bacteria
Description: partial 16S ribosomal RNA
Rfam family: Bacterial small subunit ribosomal RNA
Source: RNAcentral
GUUAGGAAUAUUGGACAAUGGGCGCAAGCCUGAUCCAGCCAUACCGCGUGGGUGAAGAAGGCCUUCGGGUUGUAAAGCCCUUUUGUUGGGAAAGAAAUCCUAUCGAUUAAUACUCGGUGGGGAUGACGGUACCCAAAGAAUAAGCACCGGCUAACUUCGUGCCAGCAGCCGCGGUAAUACGAAGGGUGCAAGCGUUACUCGGAAUUACUGGGCGUAAAGCGUGCGUAGGUGGUUGUUUAAGUCUGCUGUGAAAGCCCUGGGCUCAACCUGGGAAUUGCAGUGGAUACUGGGCAACUAGAGUGUGGUAGAGGGAUGCGGAAUUUCUGGUGUAGCAGUGAAAUGCGUAGAGAUCAGAAGGAACAUCCGUGGCGAAGGCGGCAUCCUGGGCCAACACUGACACUGAGGCACGAAAGCGUGGGGAGCAAACAGGAUUAGAAACCCUGGUAGUCC